AGUGAACGCUGGCGGCAGGCCUAACACAUGCAAGUCGAGCGGCAGCGCGGGGGCAACCCUGGCGGCGAGCGGCGGACGGGUGAGGAAUUCGUCGGAAUCUGCCUUCUUGUGGGGGAUAACGUAGGGAAACUUACGCUAAUACCGCAUACGUCCUACGGGAGAAAGUGGGGGACCGCAAGGCCUCACGCAGAAAGAUGAGCCGACGACCGAUUAGCUAGUUGGUGGGGUAAAGGCCCACCAAGGCGACGAUCGGUAGCUGGUCUGAGAGGAUGAUCAGCCACACUGGGACUGAGACACGGCCCAGACUCCUACGGGAGGCAGCAGUGGGGAAUAUUGGACAAUGGGCGCAAGCCUGAUCCAGCCAUGCCGCGUGUGUGAAGAAGGCCUUCGGGUUGUAAAGUACUUUUGUCCGGAAAGAAAUCCCUGGAGCUAAUACCUUCGGGGGAUGACGGUACCGGAAGAAUAAGCACCGGCUAACUUCGUG
Molecule: ribosomal RNA, 484 nt
Filed under: uncultured bacterium
Lineage: Bacteria
Description: partial 16S ribosomal RNA
Rfam family: Bacterial small subunit ribosomal RNA
Source: RNAcentral